Molecule: ribosomal RNA, 486 nt
Filed under: Cladosporium cladosporioides
Lineage: Eukaryota; Fungi; Ascomycota; Dothideomycetes; Cladosporiales; Cladosporiaceae
Description: eukaryotic LSU rRNA
Rfam family: 5.8S ribosomal RNA (bases 101-254)
Source: RNAcentral
UCUGUUGCCUCCGGGGCGGACCCUGCUUCGGCGGGGUCCGGGUGGACACUUCAAACUCUUGCGUAACUUUGCAGCUGAGUAAACUUAAUUAAUAAAUUAAAACUUUUAACAACGGAUCUCUUGGUUCUGGCAUCGAUGAAGAACGCAGCGAAAUGCGAUAAGUAAUGUGAAUUGCAGAAUUCAGUGAAUCAUCGAAUCUUUGAACGCACAUUGCGCCCCCUGGUAUUCCGGGGGGCAUGCCUGUUCGAGCGUCAUUUCACCACUCAAGCCUCGCUUGGUAUUGGGCAACGCGGUCCGCCGCGUGCCUCAAAUCGACCGGCUGGGUCUUCUGUCCCCUAAGCGUUGUGGAAACUAUUCGCUAAAGGGUGUUCGGGAGGCUACGCCGUAAAACAACCCCAUUUUCUAAGGUUGACCUCGGAUCAAGUAGGGAUACCCGCUGAACUUAAGCAUAUCAAUAACGGAGGAAACAUUCCAUUGUGAUGCUCA